Molecule: non-coding RNA, 24 nt
Filed under: Mus musculus (house mouse)
Lineage: Eukaryota; Metazoa; Chordata; Mammalia; Rodentia; Muridae
Source: RNAcentral
UGAAAUCAAUUUCAUGGGCUGCAG